UCUCCCGUGAGGGAGCAGUCUCGCCUGAAAAUUAACAGGCAACGGGGGUUGCGUUCGUUACCCCACUGAAGGGAACAGUUCAAACCACGAACUGACGACAACCAUGCAUCACCUGUCCAACACCCUCGAAGGCUCCAGUCCUUUCGGAUAGGAUGCAGUUGGAUUUCUAGCCCUGGUAAGGUUCUUCGCUUGCCGACGAAUUAAGCCACAUGAUCCACCGCUUGUGCGAGUCCCCGUCUAUUCCUUUGAGUUUUAAGCUUGCGCUCGUACUACCCAGGCGGCUCGCUUACCGCGUUAGCUUAGUCCCGCAGAGGGUCGAUACUCCGCAGAACGAGCGAGCAGCGUUUAGGGCCAGGACUAC
Molecule: unclassified non-coding RNA, 361 nt
Filed under: uncultured bacterium
Lineage: Bacteria
Description: contains 16S-23S intergenic spacer region
Source: RNAcentral